Molecule: ribosomal RNA, 616 nt
Filed under: uncultured marine archaeon
Lineage: Archaea
Description: bacterial SSU rRNA
Rfam family: Archaeal small subunit ribosomal RNA
Source: RNAcentral
GCACUGACUGCUAUCGGAUUGAUACUAAGCCAUGCGAGUCAUUGUAGUAAUACAAGGCAGACGGCUCAGUAACGCGUAGUCAACCUAACCUAUGGACGGGAAUAACCUCGGGAAACUGAGUAUAAUGCCCGAUAGAACAUUAUGCCUGGAAUGGUUUAUGUUCCAAAUGAUUUAUCGCCGUAGGAUGGGACUGCGGCCUAUCAGUUUGUUGGUGAGGUAAUGGCCCACCAAGACUAUUACAGGUACGGGCUCUGAGAGGAGUAGCCCGGAGAUGGGUACUGAGACACGGACCCAGGCCCUAUGGGGCGCAGCAGGCGAGAAAACUUUGCAAUGUGCGAAAGCACGACAAGGUUAAUCCGAGUGGUUUCUGCUAAAGGAACCUUUUGACAGUCCUAGAAACACUGUUGAAUAAGGGGUGGGCAAGUUCUGGUGUCAGCCGCCGCGGUAAAACCAGCACCUCAAGUGGUCAGGAUGAUUAUUGGGCCUAAAGCAUCCGUAGCCGGCUCUGUAAGUUUUCGGUUAAAUCUGUACGCUCAACGUACAGGCUGCCGGGAAUACUGCAGAGCUAGGGAGUGGGAGAGGUAGGCGGUACUCGUAGGAAGGGGUAAAAUCCUUU